AUUGAACGCUGGCGGCAGGCCUAACACAUGCAAGUCGAGCGGAUGAAGGGAGCUUGCUCCUGGAUUCAGCGGCGGACGGGUGAGUAAUGCCUAGGAAUCUGCCUGGUAGUGGGGGAUAACGUCCGGAAACGGGCGCUAAUACCGCAUACGUCCUGAGGGAGAAAGUGGGGGAUCUUCGGACCUCACGCUAUCAGAUGAGCCUAGGUCGGAUUAGCUAGUUGGUGGGGUAAAGGCCUACCAAGGCGACGAUCCGUAACUGGUCUGAGAGGAUGAUCAGUCACACUGGAACUGAGACACGGUCCAGACUCCUACGGGAGGCAGCAGUGGGGAAUAUUGGACAAUGGGCGAAAGCCUGAUCCAGCCAUGCCGCGUGUGUGAAGAAGGUCUUCGGAUUGUAAAGCACUUUUAGUUGGGAGGAAGGGCAGUAAGUGAAUACCUUGCUGUCUUGACGUUACCAACAGAAUAAGCACCGGCUAACUUCGUG
Molecule: ribosomal RNA, 484 nt
Filed under: uncultured bacterium
Lineage: Bacteria
Description: partial 16S ribosomal RNA
Rfam family: Bacterial small subunit ribosomal RNA
Source: RNAcentral